GACGAACCGAGCGAACGUUAUUCGGAAUCACUGGGCUUAAAGGGUGCGUAGGCGGGCCCGUCAGUCAGGGGUGAAAUCCCACGGCCCAACCGUGGAAGUGCCUCUGAUACUGCGGGCCUGGAGGGGGAUAGGGGCGUGCGGAACUUCCGGUGGAGCGGUGAAAUGCGUAGAUAUCGUCUGGAACGCCAAAGGUGAAAACAGACUGCUGGGAGUGUGCUGACGCUGAGACACGAAAGCCAGGGGAGCAAACGGG
RNAcentral lists this ribosomal RNA (253 nucleotides) under uncultured bacterium. RNAcentral's name for it is "partial 16S ribosomal RNA". It matches the Rfam family "Bacterial small subunit ribosomal RNA", at positions 524 to 776 of the family's 1533-position model. The record is from RNAcentral.